Molecule: ribosomal RNA, 406 nt
Filed under: uncultured bacterium
Lineage: Bacteria
Description: partial 16S ribosomal RNA
Rfam family: Bacterial small subunit ribosomal RNA
Source: RNAcentral
AUUGAACGCUGGCGGCAGGCCUAACACAUGCAAGUCGAACGAGUGGCGGACGGGUGAGUAAUGUCUGGGAAACUGCCUGAUGGAGGGGGAUAACUACUGGAAACGGUAGCUAAUACCGCAUACCAUCAGAUGUGCCCAGAUGGGAUUAGCUAGUGGGUGGGGUAACGGCUCACCUAGGCGACGAUCUCUAUCUGGGAUGAGAGGAUGAACAGCCAAACUGUAAUGGAGAAAAGGGCCAGACUCCUACGGGAGGAAGCAGUGGGGAAUAUUGCACAAUGGGCGCAAGCAUGAUGCAGCCAUUCCGCGUGUAUGAAGAAGGCCUUCGGGUUGUAAAGUACUUGCAGCGGGGAGGCGUUACACGCAGAAGAAGCACCGGCUAACUCCGUGCCAGCAGCCGCGGUAAUUC